Polyodon spathula (Mississippi paddlefish) is the source of this 509-nucleotide long non-coding RNA. RefSeq lists it as uncharacterized. The transcript has 3 exons. Lineage: Eukaryota; Metazoa; Chordata; Actinopteri; Acipenseriformes; Polyodontidae. The record is from RefSeq and is a predicted model, not a curated record.
UUUACGACGUUAAAAUUGAAAGUAAUAUUUAUUUAUUUUUUAUUAAAAUGUAUCCGUUAUCACAAUUCCCUUUGCGGUUCGUAUUAGAUGAAUUGCCAGACCGCGCUGCGCGGUUUGUGUUUUGCGGUUGGUAUAUCCCUGGCUGUUCUGUGGGAGGCAGAGCCGCUCAGACACUGAGGGAGAGCAGAGAGGAGACUAACACAUUUUGAGAUGUGGAGUGGCUGCUAACGGCUCUCAUCUGAAGAGAAGAAAGGACACGUUCACUGACGAGACGGUCAGAGCGAGUGACUAGAGCCGUGCUGCACACCCCACUGACAAUACCUGAAGACUGCCUUAUCCAGGUGAAAGCCAAGGAACAAAGAUGGAGUGUGUUUACAUUAAACAGGAGCAGGUUCUGGAAUUGGUACCUAUCUGCAUUAAACAGGAGAUGACUGACCUGGAGCCUGUCCACAUUAAAGAGGAGACUGAACUGGAGCCUGUCCACAUUAAAGAAGAGACUGACCUGGAGC